This 322-nucleotide ribosomal RNA is filed under the name uncultured eukaryote. RNAcentral describes it as "partial 18S ribosomal RNA". It matches the Rfam family "Eukaryotic small subunit ribosomal RNA", at positions 1470 to 1796 of the family's 1831-position model. The record is from RNAcentral.
CCCUUAGAUGUUCUGGGCCGCACGCGUGCUACACUGAGUGGAUCAGCGGGUCAGGUUGCGCGAAAGCGUUUCCUAAUCUUUAAAUCCGCUCGUGAUGGGGAUUGACGGUUGCAAUUUUCUGUCAUGAACGAGGAAUACCUUGUAAGCGCGGGUCAUCAUCCCGCGCUGAAUACGUCCCUGCCCUUUGUACACACCGCCCGUCGCUCCUACCGAUUGAGUGGUCCGGUGAGGCUUUGGGAUCUGAGCGGAAAGAGCGUUUCGCUGUUUCUGCUCGGAAAACUCAGUAGAACCUUAUCAUUUAGAGGAAGGAGAAGUCGUAACA